CCUACGGGUGGCAGCAGUGGGGAAUUUUGGACAAUGGGGGCAACCCUGAUCCAGCCAUGCCGCGUGCGGGAAGAAGGCCUUCGGGUUGUAAACCGCUUUUGUCAGGAGAGAAAUCUCUUGGGCUAAUACCCUGAGAGGAUGACGGUACCUGAAGAAUAAGCACCGGCUAACUACGUGCCAGCAGCCGCGGUAAUACGUAGGGUGCAAGCGUUAAUUGGAAUUUGUGGGGGCGAUUGUGGCAGAGAGGUGUGAAAUCCCCGGGCUUAACCUGGGAACUGCACUUGUGACUGCACGGCUAGAGUACGGCAGAGGGGGAUGGAAUUCCGCGUGUAGCAGUGAAAUGCGUAGAUAUGCGGAGGAACACCGGUGGCGAAGGCAGUCCCCUGGGCCUGUACUGACGCUCAUGCACGAAAGCGUGGGGAGCAAACAGGAUUAGAUACCCCAGUAGUC
This 450-nucleotide ribosomal RNA is filed under the name uncultured bacterium. RNAcentral describes it as "partial 16S ribosomal RNA". It matches the Rfam family "Bacterial small subunit ribosomal RNA", at positions 338 to 795 of the family's 1533-position model. The record is from RNAcentral.